RNAcentral lists this ribosomal RNA (2924 nucleotides) under Escherichia coli. Its description in RNAcentral is "partial 23S ribosomal RNA". It matches the Rfam family "Bacterial large subunit ribosomal RNA". Lineage: Bacteria; Pseudomonadati; Pseudomonadota; Gammaproteobacteria; Enterobacterales; Enterobacteriaceae. The record is from RNAcentral.
GGGUUGUGAGGUUAAGCGACUAAGCGUACACGGUGGAUGCCCUGGCAGUCAGAGGCGAUGAAGGACGUGCUAAUCUGCGAUAAGCGUCGGUAAGGUGAUAUGAACCGUUAUAACCGGCGAUUUCCGAAUGGGGAAACCCAGUGUGAUUCGUCACACUAUCAUUAACUGAAUCCAUAGGUUAAUGAGGCGAACCGGGGGAACUGAAACAUCUAAGUACCCCGAGGAAAAGAAAUCAACCGAGAUUCCCCCAGUAGCGGCGAGCGAACGGGGAGGAGCCCAGAGCCUGAAUCAGUGUGUGUGUUAGUGGAAGCGUCUGGAAAGGCGCGCGAUACAGGGUGACAGCCCCGUACACAAAAAUGCACAUGCUGUGAGCUCGAUGAGUAGGGCGGGACACGUGGUAUCCUGUCUGAAUAUGGGGGGACCAUCCUCCAAGGCUAAAUACUCCUGACUGACCGAUAGUGAACCAGUACCGUGAGGGAAAGGCGAAAAGAACCCCGGCGAGGGGAGUGAAAAAGAACCUGAAACCGUGUACGUACAAGCAGUGGGAGCACGCUUAGGCGUGUGACUGCGUACCUUUUGUAUAAUGGGUCAGCGACUUAUAUUCUGUAGCAAGGUUAACCGAAUAGGGGAGCCGAAGGGAAACCGAGUCUUAACUGGGCGUUAAGUUGCAGGGUAUAGACCCGAAACCCGGUGAUCUAGCCAUGGGCAGGUUGAAGGUUGGGUAACACUAACUGGAGGACCGAACCGACUAAUGUUGAAAAAUUAGCGGAUGACUUGUGGCUGGGGGUGAAAGGCCAAUCAAACCGGGAGAUAGCUGGUUCUCCCCGAAAGCUAUUUAGGUAGCGCCUCGUGAAUUCAUCUCCGGGGGUAGAGCACUGUUUCGGCAAGGGGGUCAUCCCGACUUACCAACCCGAUGCAAACUGCGAAUACCGGAGAAUGUUAUCACGGGAGACACACGGCGGGUGCUAACGUCCGUCGUGAAGAGGGAAACAACCCAGACCGCCAGCUAAGGUCCCAAAGUCAUGGUUAAGUGGGAAACGAUGUGGGAAGGCCCAGACAGCCAGGAUGUUGGCUUAGAAGCAGCCAUCAUUUAAAGAAAGCGUAAUAGCUCACUGGUCGAGUCGGCCUGCGCGGAAGAUGUAACGGGGCUAAACCAUGCACCGAAGCUGCGGCAGCGACACUAUGUGUUGUUGGGUAGGGGAGCGUUCUGUAAGCCUGUGAAGGUGUACUGUGAGGUAUGCUGGAGGUAUCAGAAGUGCGAAUGCUGACAUAAGUAACGAUAAAGCGGGUGAAAAGCCCGCUCGCCGGAAGACCAAGGGUUCCUGUCCAACGUUAAUCGGGGCAGGGUGAGUCGACCCCUAAGGCGAGGCCGAAAGGCGUAGUCGAUGGGAAACAGGUUAAUAUUCCUGUACUUGGUGUUACUGCGAAGGGGGGACGGAGAAGGCUAUGUUGGCCGGGCGACGGUUGUCCCGGUUUAAGCGUGUAGGCUGGUUUUCCAGGCAAAUCCGGAAAAUCAAGGCUGAGGCGUGAUGACGAGGCACUACGGUGCUGAAGCAACAAAUGCCCUGCUUCCAGGAAAAGCCUCUAAGCAUCAGGUAACAUCAAAUCGUACCCCAAACCGACACAGGUGGUCAGGUAGAGAAUACCAAGGCGCUUGAGAGAACUCGGGUGAAGGAACUAGGCAAAAUGGUGCCGUAACUUCGGGAGAAGGCACGCUGAUAUGUAGGUGAAGUCCCUCGCGGAUGGAGCUGAAAUCAGUCGAAGAUACCAGCUGGCUGCAACUGUUUAUUAAAAACACAGCACUGUGCAAACACGAAAGUGGACGUAUACGGUGUGACGCCUGCCCGGUGCCGGAAGGUUAAUUGAUGGGGUUAGCGCAAGCGAAGCUCUUGAUCGAAGCCCCGGUAAACGGCGGCCGUAACUAUAACGGUCCUAAGGUAGCGAAAUUCCUUGUCGGGUAAGUUCCGACCUGCACGAAUGGCGUAAUGAUGGCCAGGCUGUCUCCACCCGAGACUCAGUGAAAUUGAACUCGCUGUGAAGAUGCAGUGUACCCGCGGCAAGACGGAAAGACCCCGUGAACCUUUACUAUAGCUUGACACUGAACAUUGAGCCUUGAUGUGUAGGAUAGGUGGGAGGCUUUGAAGUGUGGACGCCAGUCUGCAUGGAGCCGACCUUGAAAUACCACCCUUUAAUGUUUGAUGUUCUAACGUUGACCCGUAAUCCGGGUUGCGGACAGUGUCUGGUGGGUAGUUUGACUGGGGCGGUCUCCUCCUAAAGAGUAACGGAGGAGCACGAAGGUUGGCUAAUCCUGGUCGGACAUCAGGAGGUUAGUGCAAUGGCAUAAGCCAGCUUGACUGCGAGCGUGACGGCGCGAGCAGGUGCGAAAGCAGGUCAUAGUGAUCCGGUGGUUCUGAAUGGAAGGGCCAUCGCUCAACGGAUAAAAGGUACUCCGGGGAUAACAGGCUGAUACCGCCCAAGAGUUCAUAUCGACGGCGGUGUUUGGCACCUCGAUGUCGGCUCAUCACAUCCUGGGGCUGAAGUAGGUCCCAAGGGUAUGGCUGUUCGCCAUUUAAAGUGGUACGCGAGCUGGGUUUAGAACGUCGUGAGACAGUUCGGUCCCUAUCUGCCGUGGGCGCUGGAGAAUUGAGGGGGGCUGCUCCUAGUACGAGAGGACCGGAGUGGACGCAUCACUGGUGUUCGGGUUGUCAUGCCAAUGGCACUGCCCGGUAGCUAAAUGCGGAAGAGAUAAGUGCUGAAAGCAUCUAAGCACGAAACUUGCCCCGAGAUGAGUUCUCCCUGACUCCUUGAGAGUCCUGAAGGAACGUUGAAGACGACGACGUUGAUAGGCCGGGUGUGUAAGCGCAGCGAUGCGUUGAGCUAACCGGUACUAAUGAACCGUGAGGCUUAACCUUACAACGCCGAAG